GAGGGUAUAGCUCAAGUGGUAGAGUGUGUGCUUAGCAUGCAUGAGGUCCUGGGUUCCUUCCCCAGUAUUUCCU
This 73-nucleotide transfer RNA is filed under the name Camelus bactrianus (Bactrian camel). It matches the Rfam family "tRNA". Rfam says of the family: Transfer RNA (tRNA) molecules are approximately 80 nucleotides in length. Their secondary structure includes four short double-helical elements and three loops (D, anti-codon, and T loops). The record is from Rfam by way of RNAcentral. Lineage: Eukaryota; Metazoa; Chordata; Mammalia; Artiodactyla; Camelidae. RNAcentral also lists the same sequence under 2 other names.